AUUGAACGCUGGCGGCAUGCCUUACACAUGCAAGUCGAACGGUAACAGGUUAAGCUGACGAGUGGCGAACGGGUGAGUAAUGUAUCGGAACGUGCCCAGUCGUGGGGGAUAACUGCUCGAAAGAGCAGCUAAUACCGCAUACGACCUGAGGGUGAAAGCGGGGGAUCGCAAGACCUCGCGCGAUUGGAGCGGCCGAUAUCAGAUUAGGUAGUUGGUGAGGUAAAGGCUCACCAAGCCGACGAUCUGUAGCUGGUCUGAGAGGACGACCAGCCACACUGGGACUGAGACACGGCCCAGACUCCUACGGAGGCAGCAGUGGGGAAUUUUGGACAAUGGGCGCAAGCCUGAUCCAGCCAUGCCGCGUGCGGGAAGAAGGCCUUCGGGUUGUAAAACGCUUUUGUCAGGGAAGAAAAGGUUCUGGCUAAUACCUGGGACUCAUGACGGUACCUGAAGAAUAAGCACCGGCUAACUACGUG
This 476-nucleotide ribosomal RNA is filed under the name uncultured bacterium. Its description in RNAcentral is "partial 16S ribosomal RNA". It matches the Rfam family "Bacterial small subunit ribosomal RNA", at positions 30 to 507 of the family's 1533-position model. The record is from RNAcentral.